Molecule: unclassified non-coding RNA, 310 nt
Filed under: plant metagenome
Description: partial contains 5.8S ribosomal RNA, internal transcribed spacer 2, and large subunit ribosomal RNA
Rfam family: 5.8S ribosomal RNA (bases 1-105)
Source: RNAcentral
GAAAUGCGAUAAGUAGUGUGAAUUGCAGAAUUCAGUGAAUCAUCGAAUCUUUGGACGCACAUUGCGCCCCUCGGUAUUCCGUGGGGCAUGCCUGUUCGAGCGUCAUCUACACCCUCAAGCUCUGCUUGGUGUUGGGCGUCUGUCCCGCCUCCUUCGCGCGCGGACUCGCCCCAAAUCCAUUGGCGGCGGCCCUUGCCUCCCUCUCGCGCAGCACAUUGCGCUUCUCGAGGCGCGGCGGACCGCGUCCAGCAAGCAACCGUCACACCGUCUUUGACCUCGGAUCAGGUAGGGAUACCCGCUGAACUUAAGC